AUUGAACGCUGGCGGCAGGCCUAACUCAUGCACGUCGAACGAGUGGCGGACGGGUGAGUAAGGUCUGGGAAUCUGACUGAUGGAGGGGGAUAACUACUGGAAAAGGUAGAUAAUACCGCAUACCCUCAGAUGGACCAAGAUGGGAUUAGCUUGUUGGUGGGGUAACGGCUCACCAAGGCGACGAUCACUAGCUGGUCUGAGAGGAUGACCAGCCAGACUAGAACGGAGAAACGGUCCAGACUCCUACGUGAGGCAGCAGUGGUGAAGAUUGCAUAAGGGGCGAAAGCUUGAUGAAGCUAUGCCGCGGGGAUGAAGAAGGCCUGCGGGUUGUAAAGUACUUACAGCGGGGAGGCGUUACCCGCAGAAGAAGUACCGGCUAACACCGUGCCAGCAGCCGCGGUAAUAC
This 406-nucleotide ribosomal RNA is filed under the name uncultured bacterium. RNAcentral describes it as "partial 16S ribosomal RNA". It matches the Rfam family "Bacterial small subunit ribosomal RNA", at positions 29 to 526 of the family's 1533-position model. The record is from RNAcentral.